CAUCUCUUUACUUGAUCUGCAGCUGUGCAGCUCCCAUACGCUUAUGCAUCGGUUCUUAGAAAAUAACAGAACAAUGCUUUAGAAAAGUAAUCUCCUAAUAAAUAUGCCUCGACCUCUUCUAGGAGGCUAUCAAAAUUCAGAGCACAUUGAAAUCAACUGGAAUGCACAGAACUGAUGAAUCAAUGUAUGAAGUUCAUAAUUUGGUAAACAAUUUUUUAAUUAACUGGCUUGUAUUUCACCAUCACAAAACUAAUUGACAAUAUGUGAUGCUUGUUGGCUUCGACAUCUGAUGAAUUCUUUUAUGAUGAUGAGUGUCUUUGUUUUUAAUUACAGGUGUGAGUAUGAAAUAGAGUGCUCGACUAUUACAUUCUCAUUGCCGAUCAUUUCUUGAUUUGAAGUCGCCUCUGACUCGUACUUGGUAUCUCCUUAAGUGUCUACGCCGCAAUUUUGACUCAAUGUUGCUUAAGUAUUUGAGUCAACACUGAUAGCGGAUGAUAGAUGGCCAAACCUGUGGGCACUGUGGCAAUCAAGUACCUGUCUAAGACUACUUUUAGAAAUUUUGUUGAACUAUCGACAAAAUAAAGAGAUGUUUAGUAUGAAUCACUCGUCAAAAAGUCAGGUUCAAAUACGAGAUUUCUUGUAUAAGGACAUUUUUUUGUUUUUUUUUUAAUUGGGAUGGCAGUUUUAAUCCUUGGAAAGGCGCUUCGUUAUUAGCCUACUUACUGAAAUUCUAUUGAUGCUAUCAUCUUUGGGAGAGAAAUGUUCUACUUUAGUCACUCCUCUAGUGGCCAUAAGCGAUUUUAAUAGUUUAGUUAGUAUCAAAGAACAUGGUUGUUUAUAAGUAUCAGGGUUCACUAUUUUUCGUGGUUUCAAAUAAACAAAUUGUG
RNAcentral lists this long non-coding RNA (887 nucleotides) under Olea europaea subsp. europaea. Lineage: Eukaryota; Viridiplantae; Streptophyta; Magnoliopsida; Lamiales; Oleaceae. The record is from RNAcentral.